This 415-nucleotide ribosomal RNA is filed under the name uncultured bacterium. RNAcentral's name for it is "bacterial SSU rRNA". It matches the Rfam family "Bacterial small subunit ribosomal RNA", at positions 355 to 767 of the family's 1533-position model. The record is from RNAcentral.
UAAGGAAUAUUGGUCAAUGGGCGCAAGCCUGAACCAGCCAUGCCGCGUGCAGGAAGACGGCCCUAUGGGUUGUAAACUGCUUUUGUCAGGGAAUAAACCCCCGCUCGUGAGCGGGGCUGAAGGUACCUGAAGAAUAAGCAUCGGCUAACUACGUGCCAGCAGCCGCGGUAAUACGGAGGAUGCGAGCGUUAUCCGGAUUCAUUGGGUUUAAAGGGUGCGCAGGCGGAUUGGUAAGUCAGGGGUGAAAUCCCACAGCUCAACUGUGGAACUGCCCUUGAUACUGUCAGUCUAGAGUAUAGUUGAAGUGGGCGGAAUGUGUCAUGUAGCGGUGAAAUGCUUAGAUAUGACACAGAACACCGAUCGCGAAGGCAGCUCGCUAAGCUAUAACUGACGCUCAUGCACGAAAGCGUGGGGA